GGCUGAAGUGCAAUGACGCAAUCUCGGCUCAAUGCAGCCUCCGCCUCCCAGGUUUAAGCGAUUAUCCCGCCUCAGUCUCACAAGUAGCUGGGAUUACAGGUGCCCACCACCACGCCCAGAAGUGCAUUUUGCCUCCUGCCAUGAUUCUGAGGCCUCCCCAGCCCUGUGAAACUUCUCUCUCUCACUUUCUUUUUCUCCAUCUCUCAUUCUGGAACCCUGAGCAACUAUGUAAGAAGUCUGGCUGCCAUGAUGCCACCAUGCUGGAGGGACCACAUGGACAUACCAUGAAGAUAUAUAGAGAAAUGCUUUAGAAACCUCAGCUGUUCCGUCUUUCAGCUAUUUGAGUCUUCCUAGGCCAAGGGCCAGAUAUAUAAACAAAGAAGACUUGAUGGUGACUCCAGCCUUAGUCAACGUCUAACUGCAACCACGUGAGAGACUUUCAACCAGAACUAUGCAGUGGAGCUGCUUCUGAACUCCUGACCCAUAGAAACCAUGAAUGAUAAUAAAUGAUUGCUGUUUUCCUUAAAUGUUUGGUCGCAUUUCUCAGUGAAAUCAUCUGUGCCUAGAAUUUUCUUUCUAGAAAAGUUUCAAACUCCAAAUUCAAUUCUUAAUUGAAUUUUAUAUCUGUAUAUCUAUAGACAUAUACAAAUAUC
Molecule: long non-coding RNA, 653 nt
Organism: Homo sapiens (human)
Lineage: Eukaryota; Metazoa; Chordata; Mammalia; Primates; Hominidae
Source: Ensembl